CCUACGGGGGGCAGCAGUGGGGAAUAUUGGACAAUGGGGGGAACCCUGAUCCAGCCAUGCCGCGUGUGUGAAGAAGGCCCUCGGGUUGUAAAGCACUUUCAGUGAGGAAGAACGCCUGGUGGUUAAUACCCAUCAGGAAAGACAUCACUCACAGAAGAAGCACCGGCUAACUCCGUGCCAGCAGCCGCGGUAAUACGGAGGGUGCGAGCGUUAGUCGGAAUUACUGGGCGUAAAGCGCGCGUAGGUGGCUUGAUAAGCCGGUUGUGAAAGCCCCGGGCUCAACCUGGGAACGGCAUCCGGAACUGUCAAGCUAGAGUGCAGGAGAGGAAGGUAGAAUUCCCGGUGUAGCGGUGAAAUGCGUAGAGAUCGGGAGGAAUACCAGUGGCGAAGGCGGCCUUCUGGACUGACACUGACACUGAGGUGCGAAAGCGUGGGUAGCAAACAGGAUUAGAUACCCCUGUAGUC
This 465-nucleotide ribosomal RNA is filed under the name Vreelandella stevensii. Its description in RNAcentral is "partial 16S ribosomal RNA". It matches the Rfam family "Bacterial small subunit ribosomal RNA", at positions 338 to 795 of the family's 1533-position model. The record is from RNAcentral. Lineage: Bacteria; Pseudomonadati; Pseudomonadota; Gammaproteobacteria; Oceanospirillales; Halomonadaceae.